This is a non-coding RNA of Taeniopygia guttata (zebra finch), 584 nucleotides long. The record is from RefSeq and is a predicted model, not a curated record. NCBI's taxonomy places the organism in Eukaryota, Metazoa, Chordata, Aves, Passeriformes, Estrildidae.
AUUAAUUAGUAAGCAUAAGACAAGAGGAUAGCUCUCUCUGCGAGCCAUUGUGGGCCAGCAUUUCCCAGUAAUACAGCUAUCUCUGGCAAAAGCAGUUUUCCAAGAACAGCAGAUGUUAGUGCAGUCCAGAAAGACACUGGUGUUAAAUGGAUAUUGGCCUUAGCUUCCGGAGUAAUAAGACACUAAAUGCAUUUGAGGACACAGAAAUAAGAAACUGGGGACAGCUGCGGACAGCAGAUUUGGGACACUGGUAUCAUGAAUCCUUUCUCUUUACAAUUCAGUGCAACAUGUGUAAACAUGGAUUAUACCACAUCAGAAACCAAGUUAGCUAUCUCAAGAGAAUUUGUAUCUCUGCUGUGUGUAAGUAAGCAGAUUAAUUCCUAGAUCAGGCAUUACCUAAUACAUUUUUCAAUUCAAUUUCUUCUUUUCUUUCUGCACACAAGAUCAGGGAAGUGGGAUUAUUUUAUUAAUUUAACUAAUAUUUUGCAUGUUUUUCUUUGUUAUCUUUCUUUCCUCUACAAUUUUUGUUAGUUCUUAGUGAGUUAUUUACUAUGGCAAGGAUGUGUAAAGACAAGAAACUGUAG